Molecule: ribosomal RNA, 450 nt
Filed under: uncultured bacterium
Lineage: Bacteria
Description: partial 16S ribosomal RNA
Rfam family: Bacterial small subunit ribosomal RNA
Source: RNAcentral
ACCAGACUCCUACGGGAGGCAGCAGUGGGGGAUAUUGCACAAUGGGGGGAACCCUGAUGCAGCGACGCCGCGUGAGGGAAGACGGCCUUCGGGUUGUAAACCUCUGCCGCAGGGGACGAAGAAGAUGACGGUACCCUGUGAGGAAGCCACGGCUAACUACGUGCCAGCAGCCGCGUUAAUACGUAGGUGGCGAGCGUUGUCCGGAAUUACUGGGUGUAAAGGGAGCGUAGGCGGGAUAUUAAGUUGAAUGUAUAAACUGUCAGCUCAACUGAUAGAAGCGUUCAAAACUGAUAUUCUUGAGUGAAGUAGAGGCAGGCGGAAUUCCUAGUGUAGCGGUGAAAUGCGUAGAUAUUAGGAGGAACACCAGUGGCGAAGGCGGCUUACUGGACGGCAACUGACGCUGAGGCUCGAAAGCGUGGGGAGCAAACAGGAUUAGAUACCCGAGUAAAC